AUUGCUUUGGCAGAAAAGUGCGAUAGAUUUAGGAUUUAUUUAUAUAGAAUAUUAGCCUAUAGGUAAUA
Molecule: transfer RNA, 68 nt
Filed under: Scolytinae sp. BMNH 1274299
Lineage: Eukaryota; Metazoa; Arthropoda; Insecta; Coleoptera; Curculionidae
Description: tRNA-Leu
Source: RNAcentral